RNAcentral lists this long non-coding RNA (848 nucleotides) under Mus musculus (house mouse). Its description in RNAcentral is "long non-coding RNA chr1:182124780-182125628". The record is from RNAcentral. Lineage: Eukaryota; Metazoa; Chordata; Mammalia; Rodentia; Muridae.
GAGCCUCCGUCUUUGCGCCGCCGGAGUGCAGCGCUGUGGGCGGUUGCGGGAGAGCGGCGGGCCGCCGGGGCGACAGCGCCGUGACUCGCUUCGCGGCCUUGUUCCUCGCUGCCUGAAGCCACGAUGCCUCAGUUCCAGACCUGGGAGGAGUUCAGCCGGGCGGCCGAGAAGCUCUACCUGGCGGACCCCAUGAAGGUGAGUCGCUGCAGGGACCGCCCUGGGGCCCGGGGCUUCUCUACCCUUGGCGCGGCCUGAGCACGCCCAGGAAACAGUCGGCCCACCCGGUGCCACUGUCCCUUCGUCUGCUUCCGACUGACCCGGAGACCCAGUGACCCAGCGAGGCGACCCCAGCAGCUACAGGCAGGGCGGUUUCCGCAGCGCCGGACCCCACAGCGGCCUGCACCCGGGGGAGCUCCUAACUUCCGCUCGGGAUCUGGUUGGUUUACGUGUCGCUGAGUGGGCUCCUCCCCCUGCACCGUCGCUUUCCUGUCCGUCGCUUAGUUUAGUGCCCCUUUCCUUUCCUACCCAGACCCGAGAGUACCAGCUUAUAAAAUGGUGCUACUGUACGUCCCAGUUAGGAAGCACCUGCUCUACUUUUUUUUUUUUUUUUUUGGAUAGUGGGGAUUUUUAGUCUUUUCCUGGACCAGUUGAAACAUGGAGACUGUUUGCACUCUCACGUUAGACAUAAAUGUUUGCAAGCGGUUUCAUUCCCCAAAGCAAACUACCCAGUCCCAUCUCAGCAGUUCAGAACAAGUUCCGGGAGGGGGACACAAAGGUCAGCUUCAUCAUUCCUUAAAGGAUUGUUGAAGGUAUGGUAGACGCAUGUUUUAUGAAUAUACACGUUAAGG